Molecule: ribosomal RNA, 510 nt
Filed under: uncultured archaeon
Lineage: Archaea
Description: bacterial SSU rRNA
Rfam family: Archaeal small subunit ribosomal RNA
Source: RNAcentral
GAUAGGGGAACAUCGAGUGAUACUCAUCUUGGGUGUCUGUCCUCCCGUCUAAAAAACGGGAGUUAGCAAGGGCCGGGCAAGACCGGUGCCAGCCGCCGCGGUAAUACCGGCGGCUCGAGUGGUGGCCGAUAUUAUUGAGUCUAAAGGGUCCGUAGCUGGCUUUGCAAGUCUUUUGGGAAAUCCAGCGGCUUAACCGUUGGUCGUCCGGGAGAUACUACAUUGCUUGGGACUGGGAGAGGUAGGAGGUACUCAGGGGGUAGGAGUGAAAUCCUGUAAUCCUUUGGGGACCACCGGUGGCGAAGGCGUCCUACCAGAACAGGUCCGACGGUGAGGGACGAAAGCUAGGGGCACGAACCGGAUUAGAUACCCGGGUAGUCCUAGCCGUAAACGAUGCUCGCUAGGUGUCACAACAAUCGUGAAUUGUUGUGGUGCCGUAGGGAAGCCGUGAAGCGAGCCACUUGGGAAGUACGACCGCAAGGUUGAAACUUAAAGGAAUUGGCGGGGGAGCAC